AGGGAUCGAGGAUGGCAGCUCUGGGGCAGACGAGGAUGUGCUGGGCGAGUGGGACGACGCAGAGGAUGACAUGUACAAGGCCCGGCUGGAGCUGUGGCAGGCGCGGCGCGGCGCUCUCCGCGCGGCCGACAUCGCGCCCGGCCAGGCUCCCGGGGCGGCCGCGCCGGCGGCCGGCGGAGGGAACGCUGCGAACGGCGGUGCAACGUCGGGUGGCGCUGAUGUGGCGGACCAGGAGGACGUCAUGGCUGAUGUGGCCUUCGAUGGGGGCUUCAAUGUCCCUGGCGACAUCUACCACCGCCUCUUUGACUACCAGAAGACAGGC
RNAcentral lists this long non-coding RNA (322 nucleotides) under Coccomyxa subellipsoidea. RNAcentral's name for it is "long non-coding RNA (CSUB_LNC000776)". The record is from RNAcentral. Lineage: Eukaryota; Viridiplantae; Chlorophyta; Trebouxiophyceae; Coccomyxaceae.